ACAAUGAAGAGUUUGAUCCUGACUCAGGAUGAACGCUAGCGGCAGGCUUAACACAUGCAAGUCGAGGGGCAGCGUGGGGUAGCAAUACUCUGACGGCGACCGGCGAAAGGGUGAGUAACGCGUGAGCAACAUGCCCGUAAGAGGGGGAUAGUGGGUGGAAACGCCCCGUAAUACCCCGUAACAACAGAGGCCGCAUG
Molecule: ribosomal RNA, 197 nt
Filed under: Bacteroidales bacterium
Lineage: Bacteria; Pseudomonadati; Bacteroidota; Bacteroidia; Bacteroidales
Description: partial 16S ribosomal RNA
Rfam family: Bacterial small subunit ribosomal RNA
Source: RNAcentral